This is a long non-coding RNA of Pogonomyrmex barbatus (red harvester ant), 701 nucleotides long. The record is from RefSeq and is a predicted model, not a curated record. Lineage: Eukaryota; Metazoa; Arthropoda; Insecta; Hymenoptera; Formicidae.
UGAAAUUUUUACAAUCACGGCUGAAUCUCUAUAGUGUUAAAAAAAAGAAUACGUAGAGGAGAAGCAUUUCCUUGUACGUUAUAUGUGGACCAUAUGAAGUCAUUCAUAGUAAGUAACUCGAAUUAGGAUAUAUAUAUAUAUAUAUACGGAGAUUUGAGAAUUUCCGUAACUUUAAGUUCCAUACAGAUUGCAUAUGCUACUGGAAAAUGUUUAUAAUGAUUAGAAAUAAAAGGAUAUUUUAAUUGCAAGUUACUUCAUAACAGCAGUUAAUUCUCGAUUAUGAACAAGUAAAAUAAACUGUUUUAUAAUUACAUAUAAUUAACAACAAUCACAAUUUAUAACAACAAUCACAAUUUAUUUAUAAAAUUUAUAGUAAUAUUAUACAUAUUUGUUGUAUAUUUAUGAGAUUUGUUAGCAUUUGUUUGUUGCAAUGAAAUAAUGUAUUUUAUUGUGACAAUGUACAAUGAUAAAGAUAUGAACGAUAAAUUACAACUAUGCAUAUUACAACUAUAUAUAAUCGAGAGUUUAUGUUGUAUGUGUUUCAGGGAAAUUAUGUUUAAUAUAAUACGUAUUAUUACGUUUUAUGUAGUAUAAAGUUGUUACUUCUUUUGUUACUGUUACAUAUUGCAUUAUAAAAAUUUUCUAUUUUAUUGGACAUGAAUGACAGAAAGUGUACAAUAAUAUAUAUGAAACAAAUCUUA